UCGUAACAAGGUCUCCGUUGGUGAACCAGCGGAGGGAUCAUUACUGAGUUUACGCUCUACAACCCUUUGUGAACAUACCUAUAACUGUUGCUUCGGCGGGUAGGGUCUCCGCGACCCUCCCGGCCUCCCGCCUCCGGGCGGGUCGGCGCCCGCCGGAGGAUAACCAAACUCUGAUUUAACGACGUUUCUUCUGAGUGGUACAAGCAAAUAAUCAAAACUUUUAACAACGGAUCUCUUGGUUCUGGCAUCGAUGAAGAACGCAGCGAAAUGCGAUAAGUAAUGUGAAUUGCAGAAUUCAGUGAAUCAUCGAAUCUUUGAACGCACAUUGCGCCCGCCAGCAUUCUGGCGGGCAUGCCUGUUCGAGCGUCAUUUCAACCCUCAAGCUCUGCUUGGUGUUGGGGCCCUACAGCCGAUGUAGGCCCUCAAAGGUAGUGGCGGACCCUCCCGGAGCCUCCUUUGCGUAGUAACUUUACGUCUCGCACUGGGAUCCGGAGGGACUCUUGCCGUAAAACCCCCCAAUUUUCCAAAGGUUGACCUCGGAUCAGGUAGGAAUACCCGCUGAACCUAAGCAUAUC
RNAcentral lists this unclassified non-coding RNA (575 nucleotides) under Colletotrichum gloeosporioides. Its description in RNAcentral is "sequence contains 18S rRNA gene, ITS1, 5.8S rRNA gene, ITS2, 28S rRNA gene". The stretch from base 216 to 369 matches the Rfam family "5.8S ribosomal RNA". Lineage: Eukaryota; Fungi; Ascomycota; Sordariomycetes; Glomerellales; Glomerellaceae. The record is from RNAcentral.